UGUAAUACAUACUUUUUUCGAAAUUAAUUUUCUACCCCUGUCAGUUGAAUCCUAGGAUUAAUAACUUAAAUCAUCUUGUUCGUCGUGCGGGGAGCUGCAGGGCAGAAUCGAUGGGCGAUCCUGAAAUCUCCGGGCGAAAUUCCGACAACAAAUCCGCUCCGCCGGCGGAUAAGCCGACGCCCAAAAUCCAGAGCGCUGCGGGAGAAUAUUCCCGCGGAUCCUACUACCCUAAUCCGCCGGAGUCGGUGAAUCCAGACAGUGCGACGCUCAGAGAUCAGUGGCGGUUUGCGAUUAGGCAGUACAGCAAGUGGUACUCUCACGCUUGGGGCACCGCUAUUCUGGCCGGUCUCUCGUUUUUCGCUCUCGGUUGGGUUAUCAAGGGCUCUAAUCCGCUUCCUUCCUUUAAACCUGAUAAUACGAGUGUAAAGGAUUCUGACUCCGCUAGUGAUGGUGAUGUAGAUAAAGUUGCUGCUGAGGAUCAUCGAUCUCGCUGACCUUGGUGGAUUAGCUACUUACAUUGCCUUUUGAUUUCCGUCUUUUUAUAUAAUUAAUUGGAUCUUUCUUUCAUGAAAAUAACUGUGGUUGUCUCUUGCUCAUCCAUCCUAUGUGUUGCCGUGCUUCUUUCGUUCGUGCUUGGAUGAUGUUGACAUAGUUUGUUUACAUACCAAGAUAUGUUCCAGAAGUUGUAUCUUUCAAAUUUAUGUCUUGGGUUUCAAAUAAUGAAAGUGCUGCGGAUCAUGGUUGUCCAUCCUUCUGCCAAUAAUGGUUUCCAGCAGACCUCAAUGGUUCUCUUUGCUUCAAGUUGAAGAUGAUGAGACUUCUGUAUAAGUCAUGAGAGUUUUACUUCCUCCUGUAUUGAGGUGUUGUGAAUGUCAAUGCUGUUGUAAUUCUCAAGAAGACAAAAAGAUAGCUUGAAAGUGUUUGAUCAGAAUGUUUUGUGGACCUUGCUGAAAUGGCUGUAUAGAUAAUAAAUUUUAGCACUUUGGAUUUGGCAAAUCUUGAAAUCAAUUGGGUUUGGGUUUUUGGUACCAA
RNA transcript from Andrographis paniculata, 1032 nucleotides. RefSeq lists it as uncharacterized. The record is from RefSeq and is a predicted model, not a curated record. Lineage: Eukaryota; Viridiplantae; Streptophyta; Magnoliopsida; Lamiales; Acanthaceae. The transcript is spliced from 3 exons.